This 478-nucleotide ribosomal RNA is filed under the name uncultured bacterium. Its description in RNAcentral is "bacterial SSU rRNA". It matches the Rfam family "Bacterial small subunit ribosomal RNA", at positions 56 to 507 of the family's 1533-position model. The record is from RNAcentral.
UGCAAGUCGCACGAGACGCUUCAGCUUGCUGAAGUAAGUAAAGUGGCGCACGGGUGAGUAACGCGUGGGUAAUCUACCCUCAAAUUGGGGAUAACCCGCCGAAAGGCGGGCUAAUACCGAAUGAUAUCCUGAAAACUUAUGUUUUUAGGAUCAAAGGUGGCCUCUACAUGUAAGCUAUUGUUUGGGGAUGAGCCCGCGUACCAUUAGCUUGUUGGUCGGGUAAUGGCCUACCAAGGCUGCGAUGGUUAGCUGGUCUGAGAGGAUGAUCAGCCACACUGGAACUGACACACGGUCCAGACUCCUACGGGAGGCAGCAGUGAGGAAUUUUGCGCAAUGGGGGAAACCCUGACGCAGCAACGCCGCGUGAGUGAUGAAGGCUUUCGGGUCGUAAAGCUCUGUCAAGUGGGAAGAACUCAUAUGGUGUUAAUAUCGCCAUGUGCUGACGGUACCACUGAAAGAAGCCCGGGCUAACUCCGUG